Molecule: ribosomal RNA, 496 nt
Filed under: uncultured bacterium
Lineage: Bacteria
Description: partial 16S ribosomal RNA
Rfam family: Bacterial small subunit ribosomal RNA
Source: RNAcentral
AUUGAACGCUGGCGGAAUGCUUUACACAUGCAAGUCGAACGGUAGAGGGGGCAACCCCUCGAGAGUGGCGAACGGGUGAGUAAUAUAUCGGAACGUGCCCAGUCGUGGGGGAUAACGUAGCGAAAGUUACGCUAAUACCGCAUACGAUCUAAGGAUGAAAGCGGGGGAUCGCAAGACCUCCCGCGAUUGGAGCGUCCGAUAUCAGAUUAGGUAGUUGGUGGGGUAAAGGCUCACCAAGCCAACGAUCUGUAGCUGGUCUGAGAGGACGACCAGCCACACUGGAACUGAGACACGGUCCAGACUCCUACGGGAGGCAGCAGUGGGGAAUUUUGGACAAUGGACGCAAGUCUGAUCCAGCCAUUCCGCGUGCAGGAUGAAGGCCCUCGGGUUGUAAACUGCUUUUGUACGGAACGAAACGGUCUCUCUUAAUACGGGGGACUCAUGACGGUACCGUAAGAAUAAGCACCGGCUAACUACGUGCCAGCAGCCGCCGUAA